AUCCUACUCUAAUAAGGCUUUAAUAUCUGGAGCUCAUAGGUGGGAGAUAAAAUAUACAUACUUACAAGACAUGUAUUGCAUAGUCAAACCAUGGAUCCAAAGUAACAAGUCAAUAAGUUUAAUCAAGAUGUGCAUGUGUGGCGAAUGAAUGGUAUAUGGUGAUGAUGGUGAUAACAAUGGUGAAAACAAUGGUGGUGAAAGUCUAAUUCUACUUUGCUCUUCUGAGGGGAUACAUACCUUCCUUGCUUUUGAAACUUUAUGAGGAGAAUGAGAUGCUCUUCUUUUUCUUUUCUCUCAGGUGGGUAUCUUGCACCCCUAAUUCUACUGUCAGACACUUGUCCAUUUUUACCUCUCGUCUCACUUUUUCUUUUCUUUCGAGGUUCCGAGCACUUGCUCCUUUUUAUUUCCUCGUAUUAUUCUUCUCUCUCUCUUUUUUUUAGAGCAUUCAUCUCUUGAGAUAAUAUAGCAAGUGGUAGUAACAAGAUAACUUGAGCAUUUAUUUCACAAGGGGAAAACAGAAAUAUUUUUAGUUAUUCUCUCCCGGAUUAGGAGUAGAAUAUUUUUAGGUGGUUCUGGAGAUGGAAAUGAGUGGAUGUAUGUGGAUGGUACUUCCGGAGUAGAAGUAGCAUAUAUGAGUGAAUGUGCAAGUGAAAUCUUGAUUUAACCACAUGACAAGCUCCUAAGGGUCUACACAGCUUGACCAUACUCAAUGCUCACAAGCAGUAAAUAGUAAAUGUGUGGCUCAAAGUCUAGCAAGCAUGUAUAUAUGGCUGUGGUAGAAAUUUAAGCUCUCAUCAUACAGGAACUCAUCAUGCAACAUUUUAAAGAUUUUCAAAGAUAAAUUCUCCAGAAUUCUAGCAUCUCUAGGAACAGAUAAACAGCAGCUCAACCUUCCUAUAUCGUAUCCGUUAACAACUUAGACUUCAGAUCAAGUUUUCAUCCCACAAGUUUAGGUCUAGGGCAAGCUUUAAAUUAUAACAGUUAUGUCUAAACUUGAGAGAGAACUUAAAAUGUGCAAAUUAGGCAGAGCAACUAUUCA
Molecule: long non-coding RNA, 1039 nt
Filed under: Sorghum bicolor (sorghum)
Lineage: Eukaryota; Viridiplantae; Streptophyta; Magnoliopsida; Poales; Poaceae
Description: long non-coding RNA (SBIC_LNC017010)
Source: RNAcentral